Molecule: ribosomal RNA, 484 nt
Filed under: uncultured bacterium
Lineage: Bacteria
Description: partial 16S ribosomal RNA
Rfam family: Bacterial small subunit ribosomal RNA
Source: RNAcentral
AUUGAACGCUGGCGGAAUGCUUUACACAUGCAAGUCGAACGGCAGCACGGGGGCAACCCUGGUGGCGAAUGGCGAACGGGUGAGUAAUACAUCGGAACGUGCCCGGUCGUGGGGGAUAACGUAGCGAAAGUUACGCUAAUAUCGCAUACGAUCUGAGGAUGAAAGCGGGGGACCUUCGGGCCCCGCGCGACUGGAGCGGCCGAUGUCAGUUUAGGUAGUUGGUGGGGUAAAGGCCUACCAAGCCGACGAUCGAUAGCUGGUCUGAGAGGACGACCAGUCACACUGGGACUGAGACACGGCCCAGACUCCUACGGGAGGCAGCAGUGGGGAAUUUUGGACAAUGGGCGAAAGCCUGAUCCAGCCAUUCCGCGUGAAGGACGAAGGCCUUCGGGUUCUAAACUGCUUUUGUAUGGAACGAAAAGGCUCUGGCUAAUACCUGGGGCUCAUGACGGUACCGUAAGAAUAAGCACCGGCUAACUACGUG